RNAcentral lists this ribosomal RNA (434 nucleotides) under uncultured bacterium. RNAcentral's name for it is "bacterial SSU rRNA". It matches the Rfam family "Bacterial small subunit ribosomal RNA", at positions 954 to 1392 of the family's 1533-position model. The record is from RNAcentral.
GCAAAACGCGAAGAACCUUACCCACCUUUGACAUGUACGGAAUCCUUUAGAGAUAGAGGAGUGCUCGAAAGAGAGCCGUAACACAGGUGCUGCAUGGCUGUCGUCAGCUCGUGUCGUGAGAUGUUGGGUUAAGUCCCGCAACGAGCGCAACCCUUGCCAUUAGUUGCUACGAAAGGGCACUCUAAUGGGACUGCCGGUGACAAACCGGAGGAAGGUGGGGAUGACGUCAAGUCCUCAUGGCCCUUAUAGGUGGGGCUACACACGUCAUACAAUGGCUGGUACAGAGGGUUGCCAACCCGCGAGGGGGAGCUAAUCCCACAAAGCCAGUCGUAGUCCGGAUCGCAGUCUGCAACUCGACUGCGUGAAGUCGGAAUCGCUAGUAAUCGCGGAUCAGAAUGUCGCGGUGAAUACGUUCCCGGGUCUUGUACACACCG